UUAUUAGUGUGAAUGCUUGAAAAGCAUUCACAGUAUUGUUCUUCUAAUCUUUAUUAUUAUAUCAUCUUCCGUACGUUUUUUGGCAUCUAACUCCUUCAAAACCGUUCAACUUAGAAAAACCAUUCAAACACCGUUAGAUUCCUAUUAUUUUGGACAUGACUGCUUCUAUUUUUCUCAUUUCUAACAUUUAUAUUUUUAAUUUUAUUCAACUUUAUUCAACAAAAAUUUCCCAUGUAUUUCAAUGGGGAGACCCUUCAAAUUCUCAUUCAACUUACUCAUUUUUAAACUCUUACUACUUCCACAUACAUUGACAUAGAGCCACCAUUCAAACUUUAAAACGAAGACAAGACAUUCAACUAUUCAACUUGUAUUUAUCUUUUCAAUAUCUAUUAUACUUUUUCUUCAGUUCCAGUUUAAGUUUCAUGAUGUUUUUUCAGCCGUUUCAGAGUUUAUAAUGGGUGUGUAUGGGACGGAAUGUUGGGGCUAGAGUGAGGCAGCUCAACUGCUAGAGUGAGAGGAGCAAAAAAAUUAAUCUUAAAAUCUUUUUUAAAACUGCUGCUGUGUCCGCAGCGUUUGCUCUACAGGUAUGAUUUUACCCUCAAAACGUAGCCAUGGCUGUCCUCUUUCAUCCAAUGUGUUUACUAUUGUACUAGGUGUUAUGGUUCUUUCAUAAAUGUCACCAAUGCACAGCCUCCUCCCUCCAACUCUUCCAUAGACUCUAAUGUUAAAAUGGCUCAGAAGGUUCGUUUGAAAAUCAGAAGAGCAUGGUGUCUUUCCACUGUCACCACGUCCAUAUAAUAAGCUCCACAGGCAUGAAAACUGAGAAUUAGGUAGACUAGACAUUGCUGUCGCUCACGGUGAAAGAAUUUCGUCAAUACGACUUUUACUUUUCAUUUGGGAACGAUUUGUUUCGGCCUGACUUUUCUGUUCAUUUUAAGCAGCAAAAGUGAGGCGCAUGUCUGUGUACGUGUGUAUGGAGCCAUUGGGUGCGGUCACUAUAGCAACCAGGCUCACACCUGCCUGCUUAACGAGCUCUGCCUGCCACUGUACCAAGAUUCAUCUUAAGCACUUCUCUUUCAACUGCUGCUGUGUCCACAGUGUUACAGCCAUCAUUUUACCCUCAAAACGUCGCCAUCGUUGUUCUUUUUCCAACAUCUUGUCUUUCAAAGCUCAGAGAUGUAAACUUUUUAAAUUGUGUGGGUCCAAGUGGAGGGAUCACAUUUUAGUCAUUCAGUGAUUCAAAGAAUAUGACCUUUUAAUAUUCAUUCAGAUGUUUUCUGACUCUAAAUGUUCUUUUCUCAUUUCUUAGGUUUUUCUAAUUUACAAUUAAAACAUUUUCAGCUUUUUUCCAACUCCUUCUUCUGUGUAACCUUCAGCUUUUAGCAGUUCAGCACCUUUGUUUUCAGGUUAAAUUCGGUUUUUUUUUUUGGUUUUUUUUAAUCUCAUUCAAUAUUUUUAACUCAAAAUUCAGCAAUUAAUUCAUUUCAGUGCAUACAUUCAGAUUCAAGCAUUCACACUGCAGUUUCUUCAGAAAAUGCACUUUCUAGUUAUUAUUAUAUAUUCCGUACGUUUUUUGGCAUCUCACUCCUUCAAAACCAUUCAACUUAGAAAAACCAUUCAAACACCAUUAGAUUCCUCUUCUUUAGGACAUGAAUGCUUCUAUUUUUCUCAUUUUUAACAUUUAUAUUUUUAAUUUUAUUCAAAUUUAUUCAACAAAAAUUUAUAAUGUAUUUCAAUGGGGAGACCCUUCAAAUUCUCAUUCAACUUACUCAUUUUUAAACUCUUACUACUUCCACAUACGUUGACAUAGAGCCACCAUUCAAACUUUAAAACGAAGACAAGACAUUCAACUAUUCAACUUGUAUUUAUCUUUUCAAUAUCUAUUAUACUUUUUCUUCAGUUCCAGUUUAAGUUUCAUGAUGUUUUUUCACCCGUUUCAGAGUUUAUAAUGGGUGUGUAUGGGACGGAAUGUUGGGGCUAGAGUGAGGCAGCUCAACUGCUAGAGUGAGAGGAGCAAAAAAAUUAAUCUUAAAAUCUUUUUUAAAACUGCUGCUGUGUCUGCAGCGUUUGCUCUACAGGUAUGAUUUUACCCUCAAAACGUAGCCAUGGCUGUCCUCUUUCAUCCAAUGUGUUUACUAUUGUACUGGGUGUUAUGGUUCUUUCAUAAAUGUCACCAAUGCACAGCCUCCUCCCUCCAACUCUUCCAUAGACUCUAAUGUUAAAAUGGCUCAGAAGGUUCGUUUGAAAAUCAGAAGAGCAUGGUGUCUUUACACUGUCACCACGUCCAUAUAAUAAACUCCACAGGCAUGAAAACUGAGAAUUCAGUAGACUAGAAGCUGCUGUCGCUCACGGUGAAAGAAUUUCGUCAAUACGACUUGUACUUUUCAUAUGGGAACGAUUUGUUUCGGCCUGACUUUUCUGUUCAUUUUAAGGAGCAAAAGUGAGGCGCAUGUCUGUGUACGUGUGUAUGGAGCCAUUGGGUGCGGUCACUAUAGCAACCAGGCUCACACCUGCCUGCUUAACGAGCUCUGCCUGCCACUGUACCAAGAUUCAUCUUAAGCACUUCUCUUUCAACUGCUGCUGUGUCCACAGUGUUACAGCCAUCAUUUUACCCUUUUCAAAGCUCAGGCAUUUAAACUUUUUAAACUGUGUGGAUCAAAGUGGAGGGAUCACAUUUGAGUCAUUCAGUGAUUCAAAGAAUAUGAACUUUUAAUAUUCAUUCAGAUGUUUUCUGACUCUAAAUGUUCUUUUCUCAUUUCUUAGGGUUUUCUAAUUUACAUUUAAAACAUUUUCAGUUUUUUUCCAACUUCUUCUUCUGUGUAACGUCCAGCUUUUAGCAGUUCAGCACCUUUGUUUUCAGGUUAAAUUCAUUUUUUUUUUUUUGUUUUUUUAUCUCAUUCAAUAUUUUUAACUCAAAAUUCAGCAAUUAAUUCAUUUCAGUGCAUACAUUCAGAUUCAAGCAUUCACACUGCAGUUUCUUCAGAAAAUGCACUUUCUAGUUAUUAUUAGUGUGAAUGCUUGAAAAGCAUUCACAGUAUUGUUAUUCUAAUCUUUAUUAGUGUGAAUGCUUGAAAAGCAUUCACAGUAUUGUUCUUCUAAUCUUUAUUCUAUUUUAUUAUUAUUCUGUAUUCCGUACGUUUUUUUGUAAUCUAUCUCCUUCAAAACCGUUCAACUUAGAAAAACCAUUCAAACACCGUUAGAUUCCUAUUCUUUUGGACAACAUUGCUUCUAUUUUUCUCAUUUUUAACAUUUAUAUUUUUAAUUUUAUUCAACUUUUUUCAACAAAAAUUUAUAAUGUAUUUCAAUGGGGAGACCCUUCAAAUUCUCAUUCAACUUCCUCCUCUUUAAACUGUAUCUACUUCCACAUACAUUGACAUAGAGCCACCAUUCAAACUUUAAAACGAAGACAAGACAUUCAACUAUUCAACUUGUAUUUAUCUUUUCAAUAUCUAUUAUACUUUUUCUUCAGUUCCAGUUUAAGUUUCAUGAUGUUUUUUCACCCGUUUCAAAGUUUAUAAUGGGUGUGUAUGGGACGGAAUGUUGGGGCUAGAG
Molecule: long non-coding RNA, 3552 nt
Organism: Astatotilapia calliptera (eastern happy)
Lineage: Eukaryota; Metazoa; Chordata; Actinopteri; Cichliformes; Cichlidae
Source: Ensembl